Molecule: non-coding RNA, 71 nt
Organism: Pangasius djambal
Lineage: Eukaryota; Metazoa; Chordata; Actinopteri; Siluriformes; Pangasiidae
Source: the annotation of a GenBank genome assembly
GUUGGUAGCUGUGUGGUUAAGGCAUUGGGCUACUACAUGGAAGGUUAUGAGUUCAAAUCCCAAUGCCAACA